RNAcentral lists this long non-coding RNA (1477 nucleotides) under Triticum aestivum (bread wheat). RNAcentral describes it as "long non-coding RNA (TAES_LNC020089)". Lineage: Eukaryota; Viridiplantae; Streptophyta; Magnoliopsida; Poales; Poaceae. The record is from RNAcentral.
UGCUUUGAUUGGCUGAAACCUGAAAGUAGUAUAUUUAGUGGCCCUCUAAAGAUGGCAUCUGAUAUAAACUGGUAAAUAACAAGUGCUAGUUGCUCUAGGGAGCUCCAUUCGUAUAUCUACAAUUUUGUUACAAUUUUGUAUGUUCGGCACCAAUCAACAUAUACUCAUUUACUUUUUCCUUGUGAGAUUCUUUUGGGGCACAUACAUUUGAGUGUGUUUUAUACAUAGUUUUGCCAUCUAGAAAACGAAGGCAUCAUUCAUCACUCCAUUGCCUUGUGUGCUCCUCUAGACGCCGUGUUCAUGCUGCUCAUUCACAAUAUUCAGACAAAAACAAAGAAGUAAAACAAAUAUACAUCAAAAUAUAUUUUCCAAGACAGAUUAGAUUCCAACAAAACAAAAAGGAAAUAAAGUAUCACCCUUCCUAUCUUGGGCAGCCAUAACCAUAGCACAUCAAAAAGUAUUGUUUUAAUUAUUAUUUUCUCCAUCUAGCAUAUCUAAGUGAAUAUAAGAGUUCCCUUAAAAGUUAUAUAUUCAGUACUAAAACCAAUCUCAAACUACAUGUUCCUGGUACAUAGAGUUAACUACAACAUCUGAAGUCAAAGCCAGGAAAAAGCUCAGUUAGUCAUUAAUCAAUCCCUGAUAGGCUACGAUAUGUGCAGAUUGUCUGUAUCUCCUUUCAACCUUGUUAGAACACAUAAACUCUUAAGAGUAGGAAGCCAAGAUAAAAAAGAAAUUUAAAACUGCACAUUGAACCUGCUAUAUAAUCCAUCAACACGGUAAUUAUCUUGUGCAAGACACGCACUACCAACCUGAAUAGAAUGAAACAAAAUAAGGUAACUCCUUUAGAGUACAACAAUAUUACCAACUGAAUGGCAUGCACUACUACUUCCAUGUACCAUCUGUCAUUCUGACAAUAGAACAAACAAAUGAGAUUGCUACUUUUGCCUAUACAAAUUAUGCGGAGCAAGGGAUUAAACGUUUUUUAAAACCUGUGCAAACUUGACAAUUAGCAAAUACACUGACAAUAUAGACAAAAAACUAUGAAAUCAUUAAAUAUCUAAAGCAUCAGAGUGGAAAAUAGACAAGAGUAAUUAGUACAAAGUUUUCUUUUUGCUGGAAAAAAAAUCUCAAUUCUCAAUCUCUGACCCCAAACUGCUCAACACUUGACCAUGUUCACCUCAAUUAUCAAGACCUUAAAUUGUAAUUUUUAAAGAUUACAUAGAUCAUAUAAAACAAUGAAAGCCCACUCCGUGACAAUCUAGAGAACAAUGAGAUAUCCUUUUUUUAUGGAUCACAAGGCAAAUCAAAAUAAAUACUCGUUCCAUUAUAAUGAUGGGAUAAUUACCAUAUAGCACAGGCUUACCCAAAUUCAGAUCGAAGAUGUGAUGCGCAAGCACCUAAAAAACUGGCGCAACGUUUGAGGUAACAGCCUCAUGAGCGACAUAAUUCCAAUCCUCGCCAUAAUUCAGAUUGUUUC